AGUCCCACCACUGUCCCCUCCGCGGUCCGCAGGCCCUCCCAGCCUGUCCCCGCCAGGCUUUGUGUCCGUCCAGUCACUACCUGGGCCGGUGGGAAGGGGAGGGGCUCGUGGACAGGACACUCCUCGGGCCUGUCACCGUCCCUCCUGCAGCUCGGCCGGAGGAGACAGCACCUGGGGAGGCGAUUCUCCUCAGAGAUCGCCUUCUUCGGCUCCAUUUUCCAGAUGAAAAACCCCGAGAAAGGAGCGGCGUCUGGGCUCAGCUUUGCUGCCUCAUGGGCAACACAGAAGGAGCCACAGCUACUUUGUCGCUGGCUUCUUUGAGAAGUUAGAUCCCCUAGGUGCAGGGGCGGGGCUGACGGAUGUCGCAGAAGCGCAGUGCGGUCCUUCUGCGGCGAGGGCUGAACUGAGACCCAGAACAAUGAGGUGGGAGGAAGGUCCAUUUCGCCUCGGCCUGCAGCCACCGCGCCAGGCCGUUCACAGACCCGCCCUGCUCGGCAGAGUCUAAUAGAUGGUCAUCCUAUCCCAUCGUGUCACCAAGGGCCAAUACCGCAUUGGAGCUCUUCACCUGUGACGAGAUGCGGCAAAUAGAAUCUGAACUCAGUGGCAUGACUGUCCUCAGAAGAAUGAACGCUACUUUUUAGGUUCCAGUGUGUAAUCUGAGGGGCCAAGCUGGCUUCUAACUGCACCCAGCUGCCAGGUGGGUUGCCUCUCUCUACCAGUUCCCUUCAUGAUGAGAAACUAAGCCACACAUGCCCUGUCCUGUCUCCCAGACACACUGAUGAGUCCAUGUUGCCUGAUGGACAAAGCUUCAGAAGCUGGACAAGAGCAACAGAAAGCAAGAGGCGUGAGCUUCAUUCUGCACAUAGUACAGUCCUGGGGCGGCUGCUAAAGGGGGUUGGGGAAGCGGGGUAACAAGCACACCCUUGUAGUUUGUCCAUCUUCUCCACCCUAACUCCUUGGGCUCUUCCAACAUGUGUGCAUCUAGCCACCUUUGAAACAGGAAGCAGGCAAGAUCUCAUCCAUUGUAGGCAACACAACACCAGGCCCAAAGGAGUAUUAAAUGAGUGGUACUGGGGUAGGACACAGGAAGUAUUGCUGGUUCUUUAUUUCCUCAUUGAGUACAAUAUUAUCACCUUGUGGCUGCUAAGCAUUCAUAAGCAUAAUUUUUCUGUUUUUGAGUGCUCUGAUGAAUAAAUAAAUACAUAAUAAAGAACUGAUUGCAGUGAUUUACUUGAUGGCACUAUCAUCAUCUGCCUCUGAUCCACCUCCACUGGGCAUCUUCCCAGGCCUAGAAUGUAGGAAGCAUGCUCACCUCAGGCCCUUUGCACUGCUCUUUCAGCUUCAUAGAACACUCCCUGGGUGUCUUCAGGGCUCCCUGUCUCUCUUCUUUCAGGUCCACAGUCACAGUCAUCUCAUAAGAGGCUGUCCUGGCUCCCCAUUAACGCUCAGUCCUGCAGGAUUCACUAGGUAUUUACUCUCUGGUGGAUUUGCUGGCUGCUUCCCCCUUAUGCACCGGAAUGUGAGUGCCCUGAGGGCACUGCCCACAUCCUAUUC
Heterocephalus glaber (naked mole-rat) is the source of this 1554-nucleotide non-coding RNA. The record is from RefSeq and is a predicted model, not a curated record. NCBI's taxonomy places the organism in Eukaryota, Metazoa, Chordata, Mammalia, Rodentia, Bathyergidae.